CCUACGGGGGGCUGCAGUAGGGAAUCUUUCACAAUGGGCGAAAGCCUGAUGGAGCAACGCCGCGUGCAGGAUGAAGGCCUUCGGGUUGUAAACUGCUUUUAUAAGCGAGACGUAUGAUGGUAACUUAUGAAUAAGGAUCGGCUAACUACGUGCCAGCAGCCGCGGUCAUACGUAGGAUCCGAGCAUUAUCCGGAGUGACUGGGUGUAAAGAGUUGCGUAGGUGGCAUAAUAAGUAGCUAGUGAAAUCUGGUGGCUCAACCAUUCAGACUAUUAGCUAAACUGUUAAGCUCGAGACCGUUAGGGGUAACUGGAAUUUCUAGUGUAGGAGUGAAAUCCGUAGAUAUUAGAAGGAACACCAAUAGCGUAGGCAGGUUGCUGGGACGGUUCUGACACUAAGGCACGAAAGCGUAGGGAGCAAACGGGAUUAGAUACCCCAGUAGUC
This 442-nucleotide ribosomal RNA is filed under the name uncultured bacterium. RNAcentral's name for it is "partial 16S ribosomal RNA". It matches the Rfam family "Bacterial small subunit ribosomal RNA", at positions 338 to 795 of the family's 1533-position model. The record is from RNAcentral.